Molecule: ribosomal RNA, 253 nt
Filed under: uncultured bacterium
Lineage: Bacteria
Description: partial 16S ribosomal RNA
Rfam family: Bacterial small subunit ribosomal RNA
Source: RNAcentral
UACGUAGGGUGCGAGCGUUAAUCGGAAUUACUGGGCGUAAAGCGUGCGCAGGCGGUUCGUUAAGUCAGAUGUGAAAGCCCCGGGCUCAACCUGGGAACUGCAUUUGAAACUGGCGGGCUUGAGUGCGGCAGAGGGGGGUGGAAUUCCGCGUGUAGCAGUGAAAUGCGUAGAGAUGCGGAGGAACACCGAUGGCGAAGGCAGCCCCCUGGGCCGAAACUGACGCUCAGGCACGAAAGCGUGGGGAGCAAACAGG